Molecule: ribosomal RNA, 429 nt
Filed under: Actinomycetes bacterium
Lineage: Bacteria; Bacillati; Actinomycetota; Actinomycetes
Description: Actinobacteria bacterium partial 16S ribosomal RNA
Rfam family: Bacterial small subunit ribosomal RNA
Source: RNAcentral
UAGGGAAUCUUCCGCAAUGGGCGAAAGCCUGACGGAGCAACGCCGCGUGAGUGAUGAAGGUCUUCGGAUCGUAAAACUCUGUUAUUAGGGAAGAACAAAUGUGUAAGUAACUAUGCACGUCUUGACGGUACCUAAUCAGAAAGCCACGGCUAACUACGUGCCAGCAGCCGCGGUAAUACGUAGGUGGCAAGCGUUAUCCGGAAUUAUUGGGCGUAAAGCGCGCGGAGGCGGUUUUUUAAGUCUGAUGUGAAAGCCCACGGCGCAACCGUGGAGGGUCAUUGGAAACUGGAAAACUUGAGUGCAGAAGAGGAAAGUGGAAUUCCAUGUGUAGCGGUGAAAUGCGCAGAGAUAUGGAAGAACACCAGUGGCGAAGGCGACUUUCUGGUCUGUAACUGACGCUGAUGUGCGAAAGCGGGGGGAUCAAACAGG